Molecule: RNA transcript, 6084 nt
Organism: Tachysurus vachellii
Lineage: Eukaryota; Metazoa; Chordata; Actinopteri; Siluriformes; Bagridae
Exons: 18
Source: RefSeq, a predicted model, not a curated record
UUCUACUGCAGCCGUGUCACAGAAGUGAAAGAGGAAGGAAGAGUUUGUGCUCUGUGGUAGCAGGAAGAUUGCGAGUUUUGUAAAAACAAGUAUUUUUUAUUAUUUUAGUGCUGUUUUGUUUUGUUUUGCUGAACUAGAAGACAUGGCGAGGCUGAGCGAGCACGGGAUUCGUCUCAGCUCUAUGAGCCCAUCGUAUCUGAACAGCAACUCCACCAGUCACACGUGGCCGUUUAGUGCCGUCGCAGAGUUAAUAGAUAAUGCAUCUGACCCCGGGGUCACAGCCAAGCAGAUCUGGAUUGAUGUGGUCACAGUAAAAGAGGAGCUAUGUCUUACUUUUACUGAUAAUGGUAGUGGGAUGACGCCAAGUAAACUGCACAAGAUGCUCAGUUUUGGUUUCACAGAGAAAGGAUCUGGGAAAGGCAGUCACCAGGCCAUAGGGAUCUAUGGUAAUGGCUUCAAAUCAGGAUCGAUGCGACUGGGACGUGAUGCUCUGAUCUUCACUAAGAAUGGAGGAUGUCAGAGUGUUGGCAUGCUUUCACAGACCUUCUUGCAUGACAUUAAAGCACAAGCUGUCAUUGUACCUAUAGCACCAUUCAACCAACAGACUAAGUCUUUGGUAAUCACGGAGGAUUCAGAAGCCAGUCUGAGAGCCAUUCUUACACACUCUCUCUUCCAUUCAGAGACUGAACUACAGGAACAGCUUGACACCAUCCCAGGCAAGAAAGGCACCAAGAUCCUCAUCUGGAACAUACGCAGGAACAAAGACGGGAAGCCUGAGUUUGACUUUGAAGUCGACGAGGAGGACAUCCGUCUGCCAGAGAUCCACUCAGAGGAGAUGGAAGGGAAAGCGAAGAGACGUUACUCUGGACCUCAGAGAACUGACCAUAUCAUCCCAGAAAUGGAUUACUCUCUCAGAGCAUAUCUCAGCAUUUUAUAUCUGAAACCCAGGAUUCAGAUCAUCCUCAGAGGGAAGAAAGUUCAGACCAAACUAGUGGCGAAGAGUCUGUCUAUGAUCGAAAAUGAUGUUUAUAAACCACAAUUCAUUAAUGAACGAGUGAAGAUUACCUUUGGCUUUAACCAUAAAAACAAAGAUCAUUACGGCAUCAUGAUGUACCACAACAACAGGCUCAUCAAGUCUUAUGAGAAAGUUGGCUGCCAGAUCAAGUCAUCUGGUCUGAGGUCAGGAGUGGGUGUUAUUGGAGUAAUCGAGUGUAACUUUCUGAAACCAGCUCACAACAAGCAGGACUUUGAGUACACAAAAGAAUACAGACUCACAAUGGCUGCCCUCGGUAACAAACUUAACGACUACUGGCGUGAGAAGAAGGAAAAGAAAGCAAAAGAGAGAGCAUUUCGAGCACUGGAGAGAAAAAGCAUAGACGGGAAUACUGAGGAAUAUGAUGAAAGUGAGGAAGAGGAAGAGGAAGAGGAGGAGGAAAACGAAGAAGAGGAAAUGCCGAAUGUGAUGUGGCUCCAGUGUGACGACUGUAUGAAGUGGAGGGGCAUUCCUAGACACCUGUUCAAAAACAACCUUCCUGAGCACUUCACCUGUAGCCAGCAUCCUAUCGGCCGCUUGAGGAGCUGCUUAGUGCCUGAGGAACCUGAGGAGCCUGAGGACGAGUUGACACCUAGCUAUGAAAAAACACACAAAAAACAGGAAGUUUGGGCCAAGCGAAGAGGAAAAUCUGUGGAGAGUAAUAAAGGCCCAAUGCCACCUGAGUGCAAAGAGACACCUGAGCCCACCUCAGAAGCCACACCGGAUGAAACAGAGACGGAGAGUCAGAGCAAAGACGAUGAAUCUACACCCUCACAACCCCAUUGCAACAAAAGAAAAGCAACAUGGACAAACGAAGAAAUCAGCAGCAAAUCACCAAAACGCACUGAUUCUGAAAAAGAGAUAUCGACUACAACAAAUGAAUCAGAGGAACAGGCAAUGGAGGAAAAUCUGGAAAUACUGGAGGCAAAAAGCAAUGACCAGACCGUGAAAAAUGCUAACGAUGAGGCUAAAAGCACUGUAGUUUCUCCUGAAACAGAAAGUACAAACCCGACUCCUUCAGAGCAACAAGUGUCACGAGCCGCACAGACUAAAGAACAGCCAAAACCUGCCACUGGCCCCCAAGGCUGGCCUCAUCCAAUCAUACCCCAUACCUCCAUGGCAUGGUCUCACCCUCUCCCCCCUGCUCAGACUGUAGUGGUUCCUCCUCUUAGCCGAACAAGCAGGCAGCCACACACCGUGCUCCGGUUGGAGAAUCCAGAUCGCUCUGUGCUCACUAGCAGGCUGGACCAACUAGAGCGGGAAGCCAAGCGCCUCAGGAGGAUCCUCGGCCUACGAGAAGCGGUCGUACAAAUGAGCCCGUUAUCAGAUGGUGAGGUAUCAGGGUCAGCAGGGACUGUACAAGAUGGGAAAACAGACUCAGGGACAUCGAUAGAAGCAAAUGCAACAGCUUCUGUGGCAUCUAAGAAAUCAGGACCUCAGCCAGAUCAGCAAAGUAUUUUAAAGAGUACGAUCAGUCCUGCCGGACAACAAGAAGCACUCGUAACCCUUGCAGACGAUCUACACUGGAGUAAAACGCUGGCUAAACUCCAAAGUCAAAACCAAGCUCUGUGUACAGAGCUGAAUAAAGUUAAGACAGAAAAUGAUGAACUCCAGAGCAAACUGAGACAAACAGAGAGAGAGACACGGGACAAGAGAGAGCAAAGCACCAAUACACCCUCCAGUAUUCACGAUAGUAUCGCGCUGGAUCGAUUACGCUCUAUCCGUCGGAACGUUGUGUCUCUCCUCUCUUCCAUUCUGCCCAAUUUGGACAUGCAGGGAAUCAGCUAUGACACUGGAGACGUGGAUAGCAUCCUGCAGCAGAUCAUCCAGGCUAACAACCUCUGAUAAAUAAGCUCCAGGACAAAUGCAUAGCCCAACAACUACUCGUUUCAGUACAGCGCUUAUAGCAGAGCUCCACAAUCCAGAAUAAUGAAAUGCCAUCUGACCUCUCACUGCCUUCUGAAUAUUUUAUCCACCUUAUUUGGACAGAAUAUGUCCCGUAUCAUUUGCUCGGGUAAAAUGUGAGUAUUCUUGUCAUUUCUUUUCAUCAACCUACCGGUUAAAGCUCAACAGCACCUGAGGAACGGAUAUGCAGCAGGAUUAAAUAAGUAAACACAAGGUUAGAUCAAACUGAAGCAAGUCCAGUUGUCUGGCAGAACACAAAAUGUUUGCAAACGAGACAUCUUUCUGAACUUGAACUAGUGCAUAAAUAUAAAUUGAAACAAGGAGAGGUUGGAAAUGCUAAGAAGUGUUUAGUGUUUCAAAAGUGGCCUAAAGGCAACAGACUUCUGCUUAAUGCUGGAAACAAAACGGGGAUGUUGACAAGGCUAUUUCUGAACCCGUCUGUUUCGAAGCUGUAACGUACCUCAGGAAUGCAUAUUUUAGUUGGUCUCAAAUAUACAAAGUUUGGGGAGUUUAAUCACUAGCAUAAAUGUAUAGCUUCCUAGAAAUAACAAUUGCAUUUAAGGCCUUCAUCUUGGUAUAUAAAACAUGUGUGAACUGCAGUGAAGUCGAUUUAAAGCUAUUUAUUUUGUACAAAAGUAACAAUUAAAAUUAUUAUUAUUAUAGGGCAAGCUAUAGAGUGUGAGGGGGGGAAAACAAAAGCUGGUUUAGGUGACAGUAAAAACAUUGUUACAUUUACAUUUAGCAAUAAAAUAUUUUAUAUAAGAAAAUAUGCAGCUAUGAACAACAAAAUAUAACUGUUAGAUAUAAAGCUUAGCAGAAAUGCUGCAAAUGCCAAAGUUCCUGUCUUACUGUCUCUACUAACUUAACUUAGACAAGGAAAGGAGAACAAGGGUCUGAAAGCUGAUUACAGAUUAAUUUAGCUCGACUGAAAGGCAGCCAAAGAGUGUUAGAUACUAUAGUUAAUAGUAACGUUUAGCCAUCUCUGAUUGUACUUGCGUGACAUAUGAGCGUUUUCAGAAUAUCAGAACUAAAGUGAUUUAGUCAUUUUUGCUGUAAUAAGAGCUGGGAUACAGAUCAUAAUGUAAGAGUCCUUGAAAUAUCUAAAAGAAUUCUGUUAUUGUAAUGAUAAUAAGGUGGCUCUGGCUGCUGAACCACUAGCAAAUGAUUAAAAUCAGCACAACAGGACGACCAAGGCUUUACACAGAGGUGCUAAACCAUCAAAAUCUUCUUAUUUUAAAACCAUAGCCUGAACAUGACACAGUGCAAGACUACCUUUGUAUAUUUCUGACUAUGUGUAAGAAGGAAUAAGGUAAAGUUUACUAUUACACAUCUGAACAAGAUAGUGUGCUGGUAACUUUUUUUCCCCACUCUAAUUUAGGUGAUAAUGAUCCUUCAAAAAGACUCAAAAUUGAAGAAUAUGCAGGUGCAGAUAGCUAAGCUGCAGCUCGAGUAACUGGUACAAUGCCCACUUGCCUCAUCAGAGGUAACUACAGACACAACAUAAACUCCAUGUUGGUCUACAUAAAACUGCACUGGCUGAACGCUGGACUCAGAUUCAAGAGGCGCAAAAACCAUCAGGUAACAUGCUAACAGCAGACAAACUGUGUUCACCUGUUCAACCUGGAAGGACAAAGGCUGCAAGAGCAAAAGUGCAGACAUGUAUAAGUGGUGAGAAUGAGUGUGAUCAUUAAUGCACUAGUGAUAAUUAGAGUCAGAUCUCCAAAAAAUAGUGAAUAUGACUUCAUUAGUUGCAGCCGUGAGCUCAAACCUCAGGUGGAGAGUUGAGCUAGCUCAUGGUCGCUGGACGAACUGGUCUGUCUUUCUACAGCCCUCUGAGCCUUACAGACAGCCAUCUUGCUCUUAAUGUCGUGCUUCUUCUCAAAGUAGUUUACCAGAGCCGGUUCGGUCAGCAACGAUGCAAGCACCUGCUCAAACGAGAUCGACCAAUCGCCAUCUGGUGCACUGCCACGUCUACUGUCAUUCCCACCUCCAGCUCCACCCACUCCACAUCCGAUCAGGACUGUAUCGUCAGCGAUGUCUUCGCACUGCAGAGAACCGGCGCUGACCACAGAGUAGGAUGAAAUGGAGGUGUCGUCCUUCACAUCUUCGUCUGACCCGUUGGCUGGAGGAAGCAGAGUCUCCAAUUGGGCCUCCGCUAAAGCCGUCGACACCAGUGACUGCCCAGAUCCCUGCUCUCCAAAACAGUUCUCCUUUCCUGAAUUCUCUACCACUGGCUGAGCGAGUGCGUCACACUUCUUGCUGCCGUUGUUAGUGAACUUCUUGCCCACUUCUCCGAUGCGCAGUAAUAAGCUGGCCACCGUAGCAAUGGCAUGAUAAAGCUCCUGCUCCUGAGGGUCCUCACUGAACAUAUUAUAGAGCGUUUUGCAGAGCUCAAUAAACUGCUCCUGAACACAAAACAGAGAAUUAAACUUGAGGCAUUACAGUGUACAUGGGGAAAUUUUAUUCCAAUGAACCUAUCUUAGACCAUUCACUCAGACAUUACACUAAACUGUCAAAUAAUAUAGAUUACAUAUAAAGUAUCUAGACACCUGACCAUCAUCCCUUUAUUAACAUGAUGUUCAACAAGCAUGUAUCAUUGUAAUGACCAUUGCAAUGAUUCAUUCACAUACAGUGGACAUACAGUGUAGUUCUCCGCUACACUUAAUAGUUUGGUUUCUCACACAACAGAUGCAGACCAAAAAACAUUUGGCAAGGGAAGGAUGAGAAAGAACAUGGCAGGAAACGUACAAAAAUCUUUCAAUGAUUCAAUACUUUAUAGAGCUGAAUCAAUGGUUUGGUUCACUAGUGGCAAGUAUGACUGCCAUGAUAAUGAUCUAAUUAUUUACUCGAAAUAGAUAAACACACCCAGGUUCUAUUCAAAUGAACUAAAUAGUACACCCAUAUAAACUGCAAAUCCACAUCUACAUUAGGCAUGACAAGUUUCUGUUCUGCUAACCACACAAAAACUGAAGUGGAGCUUGCAAUAAAAUUUCUCAAUUUGUUUAUUUUCUAUAGAACUAAUUCCACAAGCAGUCAGCAAAGACAGCAAAACUCAAAGAAGCACAGCAGUGUAUGUAAACUGCAGAACUAAAUAAAUACUGUCAUCUCCAAGCUAAAAGAAAAAUAAAUGAGCAUUUACACCUUUA